GACGAACGCUGGCGGCGUGCUUAACACAUGCAAGUCGAACGGAAAGGCCCUGCUUUUGUGGGGUGCUCGAGUGGCGAACGGGUGAGUAACACGUGAGUAUCCUGCCCUUGUCUUUGGGAUAACUUCAGGAAACUGGGGCUAAUACCGGAUAGGAGCUCCUGCUGCAUGGUGGGGGUUGGAAAGUUUCGGCGGUUGGGGAUGGACUCGCGGCUUAUCAGCUUGUUGGUGUGGUAGUGGCUUACCAAGGCUUUGACGGGUAGCCUGCCUGAGAGGGUGACCGGCCACAUUGGGACUGAGGUACGGCCCAGACUCCUACGGGAGGCAGCAGUGGGGAAUAUUGCACAAUGGGCGGAAGCCUGAUGCAGCAACGCCGCGUGCGGGAUGACGGCCUUCGGGUUGUAAACCGCUUUCGCCUGUGACGAAGCGUGAGUGACGGUAAUGGGUAAAGAAGCACCGGCUAACUACGUG
This 468-nucleotide ribosomal RNA is filed under the name uncultured bacterium. RNAcentral's name for it is "partial 16S ribosomal RNA". It matches the Rfam family "Bacterial small subunit ribosomal RNA", at positions 28 to 507 of the family's 1533-position model. The record is from RNAcentral.